RNAcentral lists this transfer RNA (101 nucleotides) under Grifola frondosa (maitake). It matches the Rfam family "tRNA". Rfam says of the family: Transfer RNA (tRNA) molecules are approximately 80 nucleotides in length. Their secondary structure includes four short double-helical elements and three loops (D, anti-codon, and T loops). Lineage: Eukaryota; Fungi; Basidiomycota; Agaricomycetes; Polyporales; Grifolaceae. The record is from Rfam by way of RNAcentral.
GCUUGGAUGGCUCAGUUGGUUAGAGCGCAGGUCUCAUACUUUCGUGUGACCGUUCUGAACGGGUAAUCCUGAGGUCGUGAGUUCGAUCCUCACUCCGAGCA